GACGAACGCUGGCGGCGUGCUUAACACAUGCAAGUCGAACGGAAAGGCCCUGCUUUUGUGGGGUGCUCGAGCGGCGGACGGGUGAGUAACACGUGGAUAACCUACCUAUAAGACUGGGAUAACUUCGGGAAACCGGAGCUAAUACCGGAUAAUAUAUUGAACCGCAUGGUUCACUAGUGAAAGACGGUUUUGCUGUCACUUAUAGAUGGAUCCGCGCCGCAUUAGCUAGUUGGUAAGGUAACGGCUUACCAAGGCAACGAUGCGUAGCCGACCUGAGAGGGUGAUCGGCCACACUGGAACUGAGACACGGUCCAGACUCCUACGGGAGGCAGCAGUAGGGAAUCUUCCGCAAUGGGCGAAAGCCUGACGGAGCAACGCCGCGUGAGUGAUGAAGGUCUUCGGAUCGUAAAACUCUGUUAUUAGGGAAGAACAAAUGUGUAAGUAACUAUGCACGUCUUGACGGUACCUAAUCAGAAAGCCACGGCUAACUACGUG
RNAcentral lists this ribosomal RNA (495 nucleotides) under uncultured bacterium. Its description in RNAcentral is "partial 16S ribosomal RNA". It matches the Rfam family "Bacterial small subunit ribosomal RNA", at positions 28 to 507 of the family's 1533-position model. The record is from RNAcentral.